This 303-nucleotide ribosomal RNA is filed under the name uncultured bacterium. RNAcentral describes it as "partial 16S ribosomal RNA". It matches the Rfam family "Bacterial small subunit ribosomal RNA", at positions 507 to 807 of the family's 1533-position model. The record is from RNAcentral.
AGCAGUAGCCGCGGUAAUACGAAGGGUGCAAGCGUUACUCGGAAUUACUGGGCGUAAAGCGUGCGUAGGUGGUGGUUUAAGUCCGUUGUGAAAGCCCUGGGCUCAACCUGGGAAUUGCAGUGGAUACUGGGUCACUAGAGUGUGGUAGAGGAUGGUGGAAUUCCCGGUGUAGCGGUGAAAUGCGUAGAGAUCGGGAGGAACAUCAGUGGCGAAGGCGGCCAUCUGGGACAACACUGACGCUGAGGCACGAAAGCGUGGGGAGCAAACAGGAUUAGAUACCCCCGUAGUCCCUGUCUCUUAUAC